Molecule: ribosomal RNA, 549 nt
Filed under: uncultured Glomeromycotina
Lineage: Eukaryota; Fungi; Glomeromycota
Description: SSU rRNA
Rfam family: Eukaryotic small subunit ribosomal RNA
Source: RNAcentral
UUGGAGGGCAAGUCUGGUGCCAGCAGCCGCGGUAAUUCCAGCUCCAAUAGCGUAUAUUAAAGUUGUUGCAGUUAAAAAGCUCGUAGUUGAAUUUCGGGAUCAGCAGGUCGGUCGUGCCACUGGUAUGAACUGGCCUCGCUAAUCCCUCCCUCUUGACGAACUGUGAUGCCAUUAAUUUGGUGUCGCAGGGAAUCAGGACUGUUACUUUGAAAAAAUUAGAGUGUUUAAAGCAGGCUCACGCUUGAAUACAUUAGCAUGGAAUAAUGAAAUAGGACGUUUGAUCCUAUUUUGUUGGUUUCUAGGAUUGACGUAAUGAUUAAUAGGGAUAGUUGGGGGCAUUAGUAUUCAAUUGUCAGAGGUGAAAUUCUUGGAUUUAUUGAAGACUAACUACUGCGAAAGCAUUUGCCAAGGAUGUUUUCAUUAAUCAAGAACGAAAGUUAGGGGAUCGAAGACGAUCAGAUACCGUCGUAGUCUUAACCAUAAACUAUGCCGACUAGGGAUCGGAUGAUGUUAAUUUUUUAAUGACUCAUUCGGCGCCUUACGGGAAAC